CCGCCGUGCCCAGCGCAGCGCUCCGGCAGCGGAGGGGCAACGACGCCGGCGCCGAUCACCGCACGACCCUCACGAGGACGCCGCAGCCGAACGCAGCCGCUACGAUGCGCUUUACAUGGGCGGCGGUAACUGCGAGGAGGUGCAGUACGUAAAGUCGUGGGAGCAGCUGCAGGCCUCGGUGUUCAGUCGGCUGCGGUACAUGAGUCAGCUGAGCAAGGGCACUGCCUCCCCCUCAUCGCCGCACGCACGGCCUGCCGGCACGUCG
RNAcentral lists this unclassified non-coding RNA (265 nucleotides) under Leishmania major strain Friedlin. Its description in RNAcentral is "unspecified_product". Lineage: Eukaryota; Euglenozoa; Kinetoplastea; Trypanosomatida; Trypanosomatidae. The record is from RNAcentral.